GAUGAAGAACGCAGUGAAAUGCGAUACGUAAUGUGAAUUGCAGAAUUCAGUGAAUCAUCGAAUCUUUGAACGCACAUUGCGCCCGCUAGUAUUCUGGCGGGCAUGCCUGUCCGAGCGUCAUUUCAACCCAUCAAGCUUAGCGCUUGUGUUGGAGCCCUGCGGCCGCCGCAGCCUCCUAAAAUCAGUGGCGGGCUCGCUAUCACGCUGAGUGCAGUAGUAUUCUUCUCACUCCUGUGGUGUAGCGGGUAACCAGCCGUAAACCCCCCCAUCUAUAAAGGUUGACCUCGGAUCAGGUAGGAAUACCCGCUGAACUUAAGCAUAUCAAUAAGCGGAGGA
This 336-nucleotide unclassified non-coding RNA is filed under the name soil metagenome. RNAcentral describes it as "partial contains 5.8S ribosomal RNA, internal transcribed spacer 2, and large subunit ribosomal RNA". The stretch from base 1 to 120 matches the Rfam family "5.8S ribosomal RNA", at positions 35 to 154 of the family's 154-position model. The record is from RNAcentral.